AAGAUGUAUGCUCAUGCUCGCUGUCGCCGCAGGGGAAUCCGGUGCGAAUCCGGAACUGUCCCGCAACGGUGUACUUCGUGCAUCCGUACGUCUUCGCACGUGCGCGCACGCCUGUUCAGUCCGAGGACCUGCCGACAGUGCGCCCGGCCG
Molecule: non-coding RNA, 150 nt
Filed under: Streptomyces mutabilis
Lineage: Bacteria; Bacillati; Actinomycetota; Actinomycetes; Kitasatosporales; Streptomycetaceae
Source: RNAcentral